RNAcentral lists this long non-coding RNA (1500 nucleotides) under Mus musculus (house mouse). RNAcentral's name for it is "long non-coding RNA chr3:10384385-10385885". The record is from RNAcentral. Lineage: Eukaryota; Metazoa; Chordata; Mammalia; Rodentia; Muridae.
ACUCGGGACCUUCAGAAGAGCAGUCGGCGCUCUUAACCACUGAGCCAUCUCGCCAGCCCCGUGAUCUUGUAUCUUUCUCUUAGAUUCUGUUGCCUCCUCGGGGUGGAGGAUUUCAGAGAGUGAGUGCUUGUGUUUGUUUUCCCUCAGUUCCCUGGUUCAGGCAGUUAUGAUGUUGUUGCUCCUCAGGCAGCCAGAGUGAAGGGAAAGAGCCGCAUCAAUCGCUGGUGAAAACCAAAAGGCCAAGGCUGUGAGAGUCUUCACAAGGAACGACCACUGAACACAUAACAGAAUCCAUUGGAUCCACAAAAGCACGUUGAUCACAGCAGACUUAGGAGUGUUCCCCAGACAUUUGCUGUGAUACCUUACCCUUCCUUCUGAAUGCACAAACUAGUUCACUUCUUUUGCCAAAUCUGUUUCGUUAUCAUUUAUCUACAUAUUAUGUAUUACACAUAUUGUACUGUUCUCUUCUUGUAUUUUCCCAAAUGCUUUGGCAAACUGGAUGUUUAGAGCCUGUUUGGAGGGUGUCACAGGGUGUCAUAGUCAAAAGGAUCUUGUUUCUCUGAAGGCAGCGCUCCGUCCUCCCACCAGAGUGCCAUCCAGCUGGUGAGCAGGACUCUACCAGCAUCCAUUUCACGCACAUUCAGGUCAGGUGCAACCUUAGGGCCAUCUCAGUUCAAAUCAAGGUGUUCAGCUCAGAACUUUAAGUUCAGCCUCUGGUAGCUGCCCGCCUUUAAGUAAGUCACUUCACCUCUUUGGGUCUUGGUAAAUUUGCCUUUAAGAAAACAAGGCUAGGUUUGACAACCAUUAAUUCCUUUCCUCUUGUAAAGAUUGGCUUCCUUUUGAUUGUAUAGCUUUUCUUAAUAUAUGUAACUGAUGCUUUCUCCCAAAUCCAGCACUGGCACAAAUAUUUCUGUGGCAUAUUUUCUGAAUCUGAAAGUUGACUUCCCAUCCUCUUACACUUGGAAGAAAGAAUCUCAGGGUGUUUGAGAGAGAAUAGCUGGUGUAGAGAUUCGGCGACAGAUGUUCCCCGUAAGUGUCGUUUACGGGGUGUUUACUGUGUCUUCAGGUUUCAGCAGUCCUUCGACCAUGCAUCAUGCUUGGUCUGAGCCUCUUAAGUAAGUGUGGCAGUUCCUUCAGAUACAAACCUUGUUUUCUUCCUGAUUUAGCUGCCUUGCAGGCACUGAAAAGAAAGAAGAGGUUUGAGAAGCAGCUCACUCAGGUGGAUGGCACCCUUUCCACCAUCGAGUUCCAGCGAGAAGCGCUGGAGAACUCGCACACCAACACGGAGGUCUUACGGAACAUGGGCUUCGCAGCCAAGGCCAUGAAAGCGGUUCAUGACAACAUGUGAGUGACCCAGACUCCUUGUGCUUGAUGCUGAGACGCGUCUUUGAAAUUGUGUGGUGAUUUUGGUAGGACUGGGUCACUGUUAGAUGUAUUGAAUGGGAUUUGCUCUUAGAGGCAGUUUCAAACUUAGAGUUACAAUUAAAAAAAAAAAUUGUU